AGGAUAAUAGUUAAUUAUAACAUUUGAUUUGCAUUCAAAAAGUAUUGGAUUACCAAUUUAUCUUA
This 65-nucleotide transfer RNA is filed under the name Ascaloptynx appendiculata. RNAcentral describes it as "tRNA-Ala". It matches the Rfam family "tRNA". Rfam says of the family: Transfer RNA (tRNA) molecules are approximately 80 nucleotides in length. Their secondary structure includes four short double-helical elements and three loops (D, anti-codon, and T loops). Lineage: Eukaryota; Metazoa; Arthropoda; Insecta; Neuroptera; Myrmeleontidae. The record is from RNAcentral.